Molecule: ribosomal RNA, 478 nt
Filed under: uncultured bacterium
Lineage: Bacteria
Description: partial 16S ribosomal RNA
Rfam family: Bacterial small subunit ribosomal RNA
Source: RNAcentral
GAUGAACGCUGGCGGCGUGCUUAACACAUGCAAGUCGAACGGGAAACCUUUUAUUGAAGCUUCGGCAGAUUUCGCUGGUUUCUAGUGGCGGACGGGUGAGUAACGCGUGGGUAACCUGCCUUAUACAGGGGGAUAACAACCAGAAAUGGUUGCUAAUACCGCAUAAGCGCACAGGACCGCAUGGUCCGGUGUGAAAAACUCCGGUGGUAUAAGAUGGACCCGCGUUGGAUUAGCUAGUUGGCAGGGUAACGGCCUACCAAGGCGACGAUCCAUAGCCGGCCUGAGAGGGUGAACGGCCACAUUGGGACUGAGACACGGCCCAGACUCCUACGGGAAGCAGCAGUGGGGAAUAUUGCACAAUGGGGGAAACCCUGAUGCAGCGACGCCGCGUGAAGGAAGAAGUAUCUCGGUAUGUAAACUUCUAUCAGCAGGGAAGAUAGUGACGGUACCUGACUAAGAAGCCCCGGCUAACUACGUG